GGUGUUGGGAUGUGAAGUUGUUCCUCAAUGGCUCAGUAGCCAGUGUAGAUCCUGUCUUUUGUAAUCAGCAGCUACAUCUGGCUACUGGGUCUCUGAUGGCAUCUCCUUACU
Molecule: microRNA precursor, 111 nt
Filed under: Echinops telfairi (small Madagascar hedgehog)
Lineage: Eukaryota; Metazoa; Chordata; Mammalia; Afrosoricida; Tenrecidae
Description: miRNA (ENSETEG00000021340.1)
Rfam family: mir-221 microRNA precursor family (bases 21-104)
Source: RNAcentral